AAAAGCUUCGUGGUGAAUGGCGACAAUGCGACUGUUCAUGGAUUACCUUAUCCUGUUGAGCUUUAUGUCAGAUGUGGUGCUGGGAGAUCCAGUCAGACAGCAGACAGCGGAGCUGAGCAAACAAGAGGGAGGCACAGUGAGUCUAAGCUGCUCAUAUACCACCAGCUCGAACUAUGCUGCUCUGUACUGGUACAGACAUCACCCAGGCCUCGCUCCACAAUACAUUCUCUACAGACAUACCAAUGGGGUAGACAACACUGCAGAUUACGCCAAAGGCCGUUUCACUUCACAUCUGGACAAGAAUCAGGAACAAACCACAUUAAUCAUUCUCAGUGUCAUUGUCACUGACUCUGCCGCAUGUUUUCAGCGCCUCAGUAACACAGACACCAUCCUCUAUUAG
Molecule: non-coding RNA, 400 nt
Organism: Callorhinchus milii (elephant shark)
Lineage: Eukaryota; Metazoa; Chordata; Chondrichthyes; Chimaeriformes; Callorhinchidae
Source: the annotation of a RefSeq genome assembly